RNAcentral lists this ribosomal RNA (253 nucleotides) under uncultured bacterium. RNAcentral's name for it is "partial 16S ribosomal RNA". It matches the Rfam family "Bacterial small subunit ribosomal RNA", at positions 524 to 776 of the family's 1533-position model. The record is from RNAcentral.
CACGUAGGGGGCAAGCGUUGUCCGGAAUUAUUGGGCGUAAAGAGCUCGUAGGCGGCUCGGUAAGUCAGGUGUCAAAUCCUCAGGCUCAACCUGGGGCUCCACCUGAUACUGCUGUGGCUAGAGUCCGGUAGGGGAGAGUGGAAUUCCUGGUGUAGCGGUGAAAUGCGCAGAUAUCAGGAAGAACACCCGUGGCGAAGGCGGCUCUCUGGGACGGUACUGACGCUGAGACGCGAAAGCGUGGGGAGCGAACAGG